RNAcentral lists this unclassified non-coding RNA (1630 nucleotides) under Dermacentor andersoni. Its description in RNAcentral is "uncharacterized LOC126544831". Lineage: Eukaryota; Metazoa; Arthropoda; Arachnida; Ixodida; Ixodidae. The record is from RNAcentral.
GCCCGCUUGCACAAAACUCUUUAGUCCGGUCUUAUUCUGAUAUUCAGGCUCAUUCGAAUCUUAUUGGAGGCUUAAUCUUCCCUAGCCGAUAAGUCGCUUGCACGAAAGAGACUAGACGGAAACAAGACUCCAAAUUAAGAUUGAAAUGAGACCGGAAUCUAGACUGCUUCGAGCUGGCUUAUCCAAAACUUAUUCAGUAUUUUCCAACAUGGCGGCCCUGCGGUUGGCCCGCCUCGAGAUGCUCUCCGAGCACUUGCUGCGCCGCGAACGUGUGUUUCGCGACAGGACAAAUCCGAUGGACGCCUUCAGCGAGGAGGAGCUGCAGCGGCGCGUACGCUUCGGGCGGGACGGCAUAGUAUUUCUUGUCGAGUUCCUUCGCUCCGAGAUCGAGCACCCGACGUGUCGGAGUGGUGCUUUGAGCUCCGAGCUGCAGGUGAUGCUGGCACUGAAAUUUUUUGCCUCCGGAUGCUUCUUGAUUACUGCCGGAGAUGUGAUCGGCGCCCACGAAUCGACCGCAAGCCGCACGGUACGCCGGGUUGCCUCAUCAGGUAAGCCUCUCUCCAACCAUUUAUUUUCUACUGCCUGUUUUAGUAGACAGCUUUAGUACUGCGUCGUAACGAUAAAUACGCCGCACGCAAGUUCUUUGCGGAACGUAGGAGCGCGUGUCGCGUUAGGAAUUUAGUGCUGCGAAAUGCCUACGUGCGUAGAGGGCGAGCGUUAGACGCCGGGCGCGUCGGAGCGCAUUGGCCGCGUCCGCCAGUACGUCGAAUCAUCGGUGGAACUAGGCUCUGUUGAUCUCGCUAAUGUGAUGUAACGUGUGGCCGCGUUCCCGCUUCGUCGAACUUUAAAUUUGAACAAGCUGCGCUGCCAGAACAUCAGCUGACGAUGUCUCGAAUGUUUGCACCUACUCGACUGCAACAAAGCUAACUGAUUGCACGUACCGCGAAGGCGUCGCUCUCCGUGAUUAACGUUUCCAGCCUCAAUUGGCCGUCGCCUAGACAGGUGCGGGGAGUCCAAGGCUGCUUCUACGCUGUCGCUGGCUUUCCGCGCGUCGUGGGUGCAAUUGACGGCACGCAUGUGCGGAUACAGGCUCCUGGAGAGCAUGAAGAAGCCUAUGUCAACCGCCACUUUUAUCACUCCAUAAACGUUGAACUUACUAAAUAAGGCAGUGGUUUUCUCGCUUAUGAUACGGACCAAAUCUAUUUUUGCUUCUUCGCUCCAGUGAUGGCUCUUGAGUCGCUUGGCGGGCGGUUGCGACGACAUGCUUGAAAACACGCGCGUACCGUCAACGUUUGGAGCUAGUUCGGCUGCUUCUGCAGGGGUGACAAGCGCGGGAGUGCGGCCGGAUGUUGACGUCGAAUCGCGGUCAACUAUUGGACAGCGCGAACGCCUGUCGCCGCCGCAACCAACUUCCGGCCCAUUCCCCAUCUCAUUCCCUGUCGACGGCGAAAUUUCACACCUAGGUACUAAAAGUACCUAACGUCUUCAAUAAGUCCGGACUAUAGUUCAGUCUCGUCGGUUCGUGCAAGCGAAACAUGAUGGCCGGAAAGUCCAGUCUUAUUUUAGAUUACAAUAAGACAAGAUUCGGAUUUAAGUCUAGACUUAGAGGCUGGCGUUUGUGCAAGCGGGC